UGCGUAGGCGGACAUGAAAGUGUUUUGUGAAAUCCCCCGGCUUAACCGGGGAAUUGCUUGGCAAACUACAUGUCUUGAGGCAAGUAGGGGUGUGUGGAACUCUUGGUGGAGCGGUGGAAUGCGUAGAUAUCAAGAGGAACGCCGAAGGUGAAGACAGCACACUGGACUUGUACUGACGCUGAGGCACGAAAGCGUGGGGAGCAAACA
This 207-nucleotide ribosomal RNA is filed under the name uncultured bacterium. RNAcentral's name for it is "partial 16S ribosomal RNA". It matches the Rfam family "Bacterial small subunit ribosomal RNA", at positions 568 to 774 of the family's 1533-position model. The record is from RNAcentral.